Molecule: ribosomal RNA, 497 nt
Filed under: uncultured bacterium
Lineage: Bacteria
Description: partial 16S ribosomal RNA
Rfam family: Bacterial small subunit ribosomal RNA
Source: RNAcentral
GAUGAACGCUGGCGGCGUGCCUAAUACAUGCAAGUCGAGCGAACAGACGAGGCGCUUGCUCCUCUGACGUUAGCGGCGGACGGGUGAGUAACACGUGGAUAACCUACUUAUAAGACUGGGAUAACUUCGGGACACCGGCGCUAAUACCGGAUAAUAUAUUGAACCGCAUGGUUCAAUAGUGAAAGACGGUUUUGCUGUCACUUAUAGAUGGAUCCGCGCGGCAUUAGCUAGUUGGUAAGGUAACGGCUUACGAAGGCAACGAUGCGUAGCCGACCUGAGAGGGUGGUCGGCCACACGGGAGCUGAGACGCGGUCCAGACGCCUGCGAGAGGCAGCAGUAGGGAAUCGUCCGCAGUAGGCGAAAGCUUGGCGGAGCAGCGCCGCGUGAGUUAUGAAGGUCUUCGGAUCGUAAAACUCUGUUAUUAGGGAAGAACAAAUGUGUAAGUAGCUAUGCACGGCUUGACGGUACCGAAUCAGAAAGCCACGGCUAACUACGUG